Molecule: long non-coding RNA, 1388 nt
Organism: Andrographis paniculata
Lineage: Eukaryota; Viridiplantae; Streptophyta; Magnoliopsida; Lamiales; Acanthaceae
Exons: 4
Source: RefSeq, a predicted model, not a curated record
GCAUCGAAGAGACCAACCAGUGUCUCGAAUCCCACGGCCGCCUCCGGAAAUGCGAAUCGCGUCGGUCAUCCCGUCGUGUUUGUUUUGCUAGAGUUCGUGCUAGCCAAGAGUCCGACCACCUCUGCAUUUGCUUUGGUCUGACUCGCCGCAAUACUGUUUCACCGGAGUUUGACUCCAGACAGAAAACUGUGGCGUAUUGUUACGGAAGAUUUUAUGGCGCCUAUCAAGACUAUAGUUACUUCAAAUAAUUCUCAAACUUCACACGAUAUUUUCACUUACCAAAAACAAUUAGAGGAUUGAGAUAGGAAGAACCCUCAGAUUCUUAUAUGGUUUCAGAAUACUUUUAGUUAGGCUAUUCAGAUUUAGCUUCGCCGUAUUGACACUGCUCAAGAAGCUUAGGGUUAUUUAAAGUCGUGAUUUCAGGCUACCGGUCUCACACAUUACUAUCAGCUCCUCAGCUCCUUGAACGAAUUGGCACAUGAACCGGGACAGUCUAUGAAUGACUUCGUUUCUACCAUCUAACCUCUUUGAGCUCGCCUCGAUCAAGAGGCAAUUAAGCCAGAUCACCUUCAGCUCAUUCAACUUCUCAUAAAGCUCCGUCUAGAAUUUGAAUAUGUUCGUGCCUCAUUAUUUCAUUGUCAUCAUCUUCCUUCGUUGGAUGUUGCUAUGAAAGAGAUUAUAUUUGAGGAGACUCGCCUAAUACUCACUCGGCCAUCUAUAUUGGACUCUGCAUUGGCUGUCACAUCUCAGUCUUCUGGUCCUCCUUUCCGGGGUCCCAUUUCUCGUCAGACUCAGUCCAAUAAAUAUAGUCGAUGUAAGAAUGUUGAUCAUCCAUAUACUCAGUGCCCCAGAGUCGAGUAUCACUAAUGCCAUCUUCGAGGACAUGUCAUUCAUAAUUGUCCCCGCUGUAGUCGCUCUUCUUCUCAGGUUGGUAGUUCUUCUGCCAUAGCUACUGCUAUAAAUGUUCUGCAAUCUAUUGUGGCCUCGCCUCCUACUAUUCAGGACAUUCACAAGCUUCUUUCUUAGUUCUUUAUGCCAAAUAUGAUCAUCAUACAUCUUCAGGUUCAUGAUUUGGAGACGGGGUCAUCUUCUUGGGACGUGGUGCAAGACGGGUUGAUUAUGUACUUCCAUUCAACUGUCUUGUCUAUACACAUCCCAACAAAAUGGUCGUGCGGAGAGCAAACAUCAUCACAUCCUUGAUAUAGUCAGUGCGCUUUUCUUUUCCGCCUCAUGUCUUGAUCGCUUCUGAAGGAGAAACCACUCUUGCUUCUGUCUACAUCAUAAAUAGGUUACUUUUCUCUGCUCUUCACGGUGCCACUCACUUUGCCAAGCCAUUCGGUCAGUCCCCCGAUUACUCUAUUAUUUGUCCGUUUGGUUGUAUCUGUUUU